UCAAACGUACCCUGAUUCUCCUUGGGAGGUCUCACGACGUAAUAGCGGCGCCCGACUUUCCGAACCGUGGUACCCUGUAACGUCCUGGGACUUCCUGCGGGGAUCUCUCGA
This 111-nucleotide microRNA precursor is filed under the name Polistes canadensis. RNAcentral's name for it is "microRNA pca-mir-3785 precursor". The record is from miRBase by way of RNAcentral. Lineage: Eukaryota; Metazoa; Arthropoda; Insecta; Hymenoptera; Vespidae.